Molecule: long non-coding RNA, 4038 nt
Organism: Zea mays
Lineage: Eukaryota; Viridiplantae; Streptophyta; Magnoliopsida; Poales; Poaceae
Exons: 2
Source: RefSeq, a predicted model, not a curated record
UACUGCUUGAUUUGUUAAAGACUGAUGGGAUUGGUGGAUGAAUUUAGGGUUUUUGAAAUCCAAAUGAUUGAGUCGAUCCCGGUUUUUGAUAUUAUCUGUACGAUUGAAGAUAAGCAUAAUUUUAGGAAAUCACGCGAAUUUGCAUGCGACGUAAAAAACUUAUGUUACAAUGAUGCCAGACUUUCGAUUCGGGUUAAUCUCCAUUUCCCUAAGCAGGCUCUGGACUUAUAAUUGUUGUGAAUAGUAAACUAAGGGGGUGUUUUAGACUGCCCCAGGUUCCAGCUCCAGCUGGAGCUAUAGUUUAUAAUAUAAAUUUGCAUAGCUUAAAAAGUAUUUUUAAUUUAAAUAAUAAACAAAACGAUUUAUCUAAAUGACUAAAUGUUAUCUAAAGGUUCACAACUCCAGUUCCGCAGUUUUCUGGAGCAUCUAAUGACCUGCUCUACCAACUCUAUCAAAUUUUCUAGAGCUGCAGCAGUCCCAAACACCCGCAGUUAUAAAUUGUCCAUGAUCAUGGAUCAUGAUGCUUUUAUCCUCCUUUAUGUUUAUUAAGGUAACUAGAACAUUAGGCGCCCAUUCGGGCGCCCUACAGUUGUUUAAGACAGAAGCUAAUGUCGACGAACCAACAUAGUUUUGUGCAACUAUAUUAAUUAGAUGGUAAUAGUAAGAUUUAAAUAAACACAUCAGGGCACCAGAUUUAGGCGAAAAGUCAUUAGAAAUUAAUGUUAAUAUAAGUUGUGUAAGGAUGACAAGUAACAAAGAGCAUCUUUGGAAUAAAACUAAAGGCUCAAUAUCUUUACCAUCAUUCCAUUAUCUAAAAAAAAUCUUUACCAUCAUUUCUAAGACUGUAGCAGCACCACUCACUGCCCUCCCCAACAGAGCAGAAAGAAAUCCAAUUCAUUGGCCUAUUGAAAAUUCUAAAUUCUAUCACUGUGUGAAAGAAACCUAUCUUCAUAGGUAGUUACAGAGAGCAGACUGAAAACUCUUGCGUUCAAAGAGUGAUAAAAAGCAAGUAACAAUGCUAGUUAGGAUCCAAACUGUUAAAACAUGUUAUGAUGUAACUGAUAAAAUUUAAUUCAAGUAAUCAUUCAUCAAUCAGGCUUUUCUGAAUCACUAAUAGUGUAUUUUAUAGAGUCAGAUUUUACAGAGUCACUUGUACUUGUUUCCUUGUUAGGAGGCGAACAUCUUACAGGUAAAAUCUGAUGUGCCACAAAUGAGGACAAGGUAGGACUUCUUCACUUUUGAACCAUCAGAAGAAAGGCAUGCUCACAAGCAUAGACAUCGAAUCUAUAGGAUUGUUCAAACUCCAUUGUUACAUGGUAACUGAAUAUGAGGCCAGUCAACCAAUCCACCAGCAAAACCAGCACGCAUGGCAAAGGUCACAAUCAUUUCACUCUGCUUCACAUUAUCAGCAUGAAACUGUAGAACAGCUCUUCAAGUUCCCAUGUUUAUCAGUCUGAACAAAAAAACUACAUCAGCCAAAUACUGUGUUUUUAAGACAACAAGAGAGUUAAUUGUCUAGCAAUUUUCUCUUAAUUUUACAGCACAAUAGGACUCACUGCAUUUCCUAAAAUGUUAUAAUUAGUCAGCUUCAGCAGAGAGUAAAAAGGGCAAAUUAAAAGAGCACACCUAAAAAGGACACCAGACGUUUACAUUGCAACACAUGUGACGGGUUUGAACCAACUUUUGGUAUUCACAAAUAGACAAGCUCUGCAGACUUGACAAUCAAAGAUAGAAAUUCAGAAGGCAUAUGAUGAAGGGAAGGAUGCAAAAGUAAAGGUAUUGGAUAGGUCAAUUGAAGAACUCGAUAACGUGUAUGUGUUUUAGAAUGCAAAGUAAGUUGUGUUCCUUCGUUUAUUUAGAAGUUAGUUAAUUUAAUAAACCUUGCUGCAAGACAAAUAUAUGUUACAGUAAUUGUUCCAAGAUAACUGAAGAGGCAUUGGAGAUCCAAGUAUUACCUUUAAUUUAAUAAACCUGAUUUAGUAGCAAGGCUUGCCAUCAUCAAUCAAAGGUGCUAUAACAUUUUCACAAAUACAUCUGACAUGGUGUCGAAACUUAGAGGAAAUUUCAAAGAAACAUUAAGGCAGUCGGGUGGCCUUGAUAAUAUUUUUAAUAUCAUGGUGAAUUGCCAUUCAGAAGUGGAGGUAAUACCUUGUUUAUGUGUCCAAUAGUAUACAACAAUUAUAAGCUCGUUGCAAUAAAAUAUCAGUAAAGCAUUGCCGUCUGCUAGUGUAUUUGAACUGUAACAUUUCUAGGAAAGAUGCUAAUGGACCGAGAGUCCGAGACAAAAGAAUACAUAUUCGCAGAUGGUUCUAGCUCAUGGGUUUGACCCUCAAUCACAACUGAAACAGCUAAAUGUGAAACUUCCAGAGUACCCACCAUAACAAACCACGAGGAGUUGCGACUGGCAGCAAGCAGCAACCAUAAAUUUAGAACUAUUAUAGCAGGGCACCUAGUUCAUGCGGCGUGAUUACCUGAUUGCUUUCUCAUGUGGUGUGAUUACCUGGUUGCUUUCUUGUUUACUGGGAGCAAUGGAGGGUGGAGCUUCCACUUCACCGAAUCAAGGUGACUUCACGGCUUCCUCUUCCGACUGCGCAUCGCCAGCUCCCGCAACGACCCGACCUUCACCAUGAGGAGCAUUGCCACCGCGGGUGAAUCAUAUCGGCCGCCGUUAGCCCUCCCUCUCCCGAUCUGCUACGAUUCUUUGACCAGGCCUUGGUCUAGAAACGAAAAGGCGGCGGGGUAAACAGCCGCAGAGUCGAGCAGUGGCCGCAGAGGCAAGCAGAGAGGCCAGUGGGACGACGUGGACCUGAUGGAGAGUGGCCUUGGGGAAUGUCUGUGAAGUGGAAGGGGGAGGAGAAGGAUGGAAGGGCCAAUGGUCCAACCGUGCCGCCUGUCGCGCGCGCCCGAGCUCGCCUGCGCGUCCCGCGGCUCGCUGUCUUAGCCCGCCGCCACGCAAAACCCUAUGGUCGACGCCACCCUGAACGAGUCAGCCGACGCCACAGAAGCCUCAGACGCCAGCGCACUGCCCUCGCUGGCGCUCGCCAUGGACACGACCGGCUAGCUCCACCUGAGACACUACGUGUGGCCACCCUUAUGCCCCCGUCGCCUUCUCGGGCGCCUUGAGGGCCACCAGCGACUUGACCCACCUGCUCGAUCACGACGGUGGAGAUGGAGGGGAUCUGGCGAACGUGUGUGUGCGUGGGCGGGGGGUGGGAAAGGGGGCGAAGACUUGCUUCCGAGCGAUGAUGAGGCUGGCUCCGUCGAGCGGCGGCGGCGCAGGGACGAGGAGCAAUGGAUCCAUGAAGGGAGUCGCCCUAUCGCUCGCGAGUACAGUGGAUCGGAUAUGGGGGAGCGGACGUGGACGCGAAUGGCUCCAUCGAAUUGAAGAAAUAUCUCGGGUCCGUAUGGGCAGUUGGGCACGUGCUGGCAUGCCGAACUCUCCAGACGCGUGAAACCCGGGGAGGGGCUAGAAUUCCCGUGGCUCCAGAUACAACAUCUCUGUCUGUCAAAUAUAACUUCUGUAUUCAGGUAAUGGUGACUUUAUGUGUUACUCCUUGUUAGCAGGGUUGUCCUGCCCAGGACACUGUUUUCAUGUUUUCUCGCCCCAUAUUUUGUGCUGUUGAGUCUGCGCAAUGGAGUUACAUAGAUUUGUUUUUCAAAUACUGUCUUAUCAUUUAUCUUGAUGCUGCAGAACCAAUAUACAAUAGGUCGAAUAGACUUGUUUGACUUGAGUUAUAAUUUGAAAAAUCUGAAAACAUUAGUCCUGUAAACCAGGCUGAGAUACUGGAGGGCAUUGUUUGUACUCAUGAAAACCUGACACAUUUGUGUUUGAUUUUGAUUAUGCACAUUAUUUUCUACAUAACUGUGUCUUGUAUCCUUGUCAUUGUCAUGACAUUGGCACCUCCCCCCCUCCACACACACACAGUUGUUCACCUGCUGUUUGAUAAUAUUUUGCCUACUAAUUAUUUUGAACUUAAAUUUUCUGGAUUUUAGAGUAAUCUAUUACCGUAUUAGUAUUAUAUUUAGAUUUUUUUGAAC